GAAAUGCGAUAAGUAGUGUGAAUUGCAGAAUUCAGUUAAUCAUCGAAUCUUUGAACGCACAUUGCGCCCCUUGGUAUUCCAUGGGGCAUGCCUGUUCGAGCGUCAUUUGUACCCUCAAGCUCUGCUUGGUGUUGGGUGUUUGUCCCGUCUCCGCGCGUGGACUCGCCCCAAAGUGAUUGGCAGCCGGCGUACUGGUCCCGGAGCGCAGCACAUGUCGCGCAAACGAGUGCCUUGGUACGGCGGCGUCCAUAAGCCCCUCUCUCACGCUCUUGACCUCGGAUCAGGUAGGGAUACCCGCUGAACUUAAGC
This 309-nucleotide unclassified non-coding RNA is filed under the name plant metagenome. RNAcentral's name for it is "partial contains 5.8S ribosomal RNA, internal transcribed spacer 2, and large subunit ribosomal RNA". The stretch from base 1 to 105 matches the Rfam family "5.8S ribosomal RNA", at positions 50 to 154 of the family's 154-position model. The record is from RNAcentral.